This 827-nucleotide long non-coding RNA is filed under the name Vulpes vulpes (red fox). RNAcentral describes it as "lncRNA (ENSVVUG00000018347.1)". The record is from RNAcentral. Lineage: Eukaryota; Metazoa; Chordata; Mammalia; Carnivora; Canidae.
AUGUUUCUGAGCGGAAGGGGCGGGGCAAGGGGAGAAGAUGAACGGGGGGAGGGGAGGGAUGCCCUUUGCAUCCAGCGCGCCUGCGCAAACCAGUUGUGUGGGAGCUCACGCCUUCAUGCUUUCCCUCGCUUGGGCUGGCGCGUGCGGUGUCGUCGGCCUCGCCUCGCCUCGGCGNUGACCUGCAGGGAGGCGGGUGUCGAAUGGCAGCAAACGAGUGUGAGGCUAGGGUUGAGCAGAAGGAGUGGGGACAUGGGCGGAGCUUGCAUGUUUCUGAGCGGAAGGGGCGGGGCAAGGGGAGAAGAUGAACAGGGGGGAGGGGAGGGAUGCCCUUUGCAUCCAGCGCGCCUGCGCAAACCGGUUGUGUGGGAGCUCACGCCUUCAUGCCUUCCCUCGCUUGGGCUGGCGCGUGCGGUGUCGUCGGCCUCGCCUCGCCUCGGCGGCGCCCGCCUGUUGGUUCUUUGUCGGCUUCCCAGCUGCCGUGUGACCCCCUGGGCCUGCAGCCCGGCCGCCACCUGGUCCACUUGCAGCCCCGCCGCCGCCGCCAGCGCCCCAAAUAGUCGUUGGACAGCACCGGCGGGCGGGCUCGAGGUGCUGUUUGUGACCUCCUCACACCUACCCGCACGGUGGGUGGCAGAUGCGAGGCCGUGGGGUGCCGCCCCGCCCAUCCGGCGAGCUGUCACGUCCUGAAAGCCGAUAAAGAAUUUCAGGAUGACGAACACGACCGUGGGAACAGCAGCGAGAGGGCAGACUUGGUGACGGAGAUCCGGACAUCGAGUGUAUUUUAUAGGAGUGAAUGCAUGCAUCUUAGUGACACCAGCAUUAGGAGG